Molecule: ribosomal RNA, 239 nt
Filed under: uncultured bacterium
Lineage: Bacteria
Description: partial small subunit ribosomal RNA
Rfam family: Bacterial small subunit ribosomal RNA
Source: RNAcentral
AGGAUGAACGCUGGCGGCGUGCCUAAAACAUGCAAGUCAUACGGACCACUUUCGGGUGGUCAGUGGCAAACGGGUGAGUAACACGUGGGAACACGCCUUCGAGUGGGGAAUAACGCUGAGAAAUCAGUGCUAAUACCGCAUAUGGUCGAGAGACUAAAGCAGUAAUGCGCUCGGAGAGUGGCCCGCGGUCGAUUAGCUUGUUGGUGGGGUAAUGGCCUACCAAGGCGGCGAUCGAUAGC